RNAcentral lists this ribosomal RNA (85 nucleotides) under Nannospalax galili (Upper Galilee mountains blind mole rat). The record is from RNAcentral. Lineage: Eukaryota; Metazoa; Chordata; Mammalia; Rodentia; Spalacidae.
AUCUAUGGCCAUAUCAUGCUGAGAAUGCCUGAUCUUUCCUGAACCCAGAAAGCAAACAGAACUGGGCCUGGUUAGGACAUGAAUC